GACGAACGCUGGCGGCGUGCCUAAUACAUGCAAGUAGAACGCUGAAGGAGGAGCUUGCUUCUCUGGAUGCGUUGCGAACGGGUGAGUAACGCGUAGGUAACCUGCCUGGUAGUGGGGGAUAACUAUUGGAAACGAUAGCUAAUACCGCAUAAUAGCAGUUGUUGCAUGAUAACUGUUUGAAAGGUGCAAUUGCACCGCUACCAGAUGGACCUGCGUUGUAUUAGCUAGUUGGUGGGGUAACGGCUCACCAAGGCGACGAUACAUAGCCGACCUGAGAGGGUGAUCGGCCACACUUGGACUGAGACACGGCCCAGACUCCUACGGGAGGCAGCAGUAGGGAAUCUUCGGCAAUGGACGGAAGUCUGACCGAGCAACGCCGCGUGAGUGAAGAAGGUUUUCGGAUCGUAAAGCUCUGUUGUAAGAGAAGAACGAGUGUGAGAGUGGAAAGUUCACACUGUGACGGUAUCUUACCAGAAAGGGACGGCUAACUACGUG
Molecule: ribosomal RNA, 495 nt
Filed under: uncultured bacterium
Lineage: Bacteria
Description: partial 16S ribosomal RNA
Rfam family: Bacterial small subunit ribosomal RNA
Source: RNAcentral